This is a small nucleolar RNA of Cornus florida, 104 nucleotides long. Lineage: Eukaryota; Viridiplantae; Streptophyta; Magnoliopsida; Cornales; Cornaceae. The record is from RefSeq and is a predicted model, not a curated record.
CUUAAAUACGUGUACUUGCUGUAAAUAUGGACAAAAAGCAAUAUGUGGGCUUUAGGUGGGCAUCUAGUGAGUAUGGGUUGCCCAUAAAGGACCUACAUAUAUUU